RNAcentral lists this ribosomal RNA (1392 nucleotides) under uncultured bacterium. RNAcentral describes it as "bacterial SSU rRNA". It matches the Rfam family "Bacterial small subunit ribosomal RNA". The record is from RNAcentral.
AGAGUUUGAUCCUGGCUCAGGAUGAACGCUGGCGGCGUGCUUAACACAUGCAAGUCGAACGAAGCAUAGGAGUGGAAUUUUUCGGAAAGAACAACUAUGACUGAGUGGCGGACGGGUGAGUAACGCGUGGGUAACCCUGCCUCAUACAGGGGGAAUACAGUUGGAAAUGACUGCUAAUACCGCAUAAGCGCACAAAACCGCAUGGUUUGGUGUGAAAAACUGAGGUGGUAUGAGAUGGACCCGCGUCUGAUUAGCUAGUUGGAGAGGUACGGCUCACCAAAGGCAACGAUCAGUAGCCGACCUGAGAGGGUGACCGGCCACAUUGGGACUGAGACACGGCCCAAACUCCUACGGGAGGCAGCAGUGGGGAAUAUUGCACAAUGGGGGAAACCCUGAUGCAGCAACGCCGCGUGAGUGAAGAAGUAUUUCGGUAUGUAAAGCUCUAUCAGCAGGGAAGAAGAGAGACGGUACCUGACUAAGAAGCCCCGGCUAACUACGUGCCAGCAGCCGCGGUAAUACGUAGGGGGCAAGCGUUAUCCGGAUUUACUGGGUGUAAAGGGAGCGUAGACGGUUGCAUAAGUCUGAAGUGAAAGGCCAAGGCUUAACCAUGGAACUGCUUUGGAAACUAUGAGGCUAGAGUGCUGGAGAGGUAAGUGGAAUUCCUAGUGUAGCGGUGAAAUGCGUAGAUAUUAGGAGGAACACCAGUGGCGAAGGCGGCUUACUGGACUGUAACUGACGUUGAGGCUCGAAAGCGUGGGGAGCAAACAGGAUUAGGUACCCUGGUAGUCCACGCCGUAAACGAUGAUUACUAGGUGUCGGGGGGCAGAGGCCCUUCGGUGCCGCAGCAAACGCAAUAAGUAAUCCACCUGGGGAGUACGUCCGCAAGGAUGAAACUCAAGGGAAUUGACGGGGACCCGCACAAGCGGUGGAGCAUGUGGUUUAAUUCGAAGCAACGCGAAGAACCUUACCCGGCCUUGACAUCCCCCUGACAGUGUAUGUAAUGUACAUUCCCUUCGGGGCAGGAGAGACAGGUGGUGCAUGGUUGUCGUCAGCUCGUGUCGUGAGAUGUUGGGUUAAGUCCCGCAACGAGCGCAACCCUUACCCACAGUAGCCAGCACAAAAGGUGGGCACUCUGUGGGGACUGCCGGGGACAACCCGGAGGAAGGUGGGGAUGACGUCAAAUCAUCAUGCCCCUUAUGGCCGGGGCUACACACGUGCUACAAUGGCGUAAACAAAGGGAAGCGAGAGAGUGAUCUUAAGCGAAACUCAAAAAUAACGUCCCAGUUCGGAUUGCAGUCUGCAACUCGACUGCAUGAAGCUGGAAUCGCUAGUAAUCGCGGAUCAGAAUGCCGCGGUGAAUACGUUCCCGGGUCUUGUACUCACCGCCCGUCA